UUCAGCUUUGCUUAACACCUCCUGAAGCCAGAGAGACAUCACCUUCUCCAAGCUGCCUCUUUCUGCUGCUGUUUUUUCCUCCUCAACCUUCAUUAUGUAUCCUGCAGGAUAUGGAGCUCCUCUAAAACACACCUUAAAGCUCAGGAAACAAAAUAGGACUCAGUGUUGCAGCCUACUCACAGUAUCGUCACCAUUUUCCAGGGUUGCUCGAGUCUGAGGUGAGAACUAAUGAAUUGUCGGGGCCACAGGAGGAGGACAAGGACGGGGAAGGAAUAAGAGUACAAACAUCUGCGUGUAGAGGACAAAGCUCCUCGCAGUCUCCCAGGUUAUGCAGCCACUUUGUAAGUAUUUGGCAGCUGAGCCAUCCCUUUCCUUGCAAUCACUCUGUUUGCUUAGGAGCAAACCCAAAUUCAGUUUGCACCAGGGUUUGUUUGAACACAUCCCUUCACUUCAUUGUUUGAUUCGGGAUUUUUUUUUCCCCUUCUACGCAUCUUCCUCCUUCAUGGUUGAUUUGGAUUAUGAUGUAAACUAAGCGAACAUGACACAGCUGCUCUCUCCAAUAACUAAGGAGAUGCCGGCUGCCACUCACCCCGGCACUUUGGUGCUUCACAGCAGGGCUGGUGGGCUGAUGGGGGCCCUCUCUUUUGGCAUCUGUCUGUGCCAUUCUUGUGCCGCUUGCUGAAACAAAACCAGUGAUGUUAGCAGCAUAUGGGCAGCCAGAACAGGGGCCAUUUCCCUUAUUUGCCAACAAAGUAAAGGACAAGGCCCAGUGGAAUGUGAAUAUACGGAGGAGAGCUGGCAGCACGGUGGCAGAAGAGGAAACCACAAGCAGGAAUGAUCCCAGGAGUCACCUCUGCCCAUACGUCCCUUUUCCGAAACAUGUGGAGUCUCUGAGCUUUGCAUGGACUGUUUGACUCGAAGUUCUGUGAGUUUUGAUCAGCUGAGCUGGCACUGCCAAGCUGAACUCAUCUGGCUGAGGUGGACACCCCAUCUCAGAUACAAAGCCUGACUCCAAACCUCACUGAAAGCUGAGAUUUUGUUGACAAUCAAAUUCAUGUAACAGCUAACAGAAAAUAAAUCACUUCCAUCUGCAUGCUCUUGGACUAAUAAAGGCUUGGUCUGAACCUGGAGGAGCCAAGAACCUGUCAGGGAUCCAAUCUAAUUGUAUAUCUAACCUGAUCAGAAGUAAGAAUAAUUGGAAACCUCUCAAGUAGAUUGUUCUUCUUAACUUACCGGGACAAGCCACACACCAACAGCUUGCACAAUCUGACUUCUGCAAACAAAAGCAGUCUGGAUAAUUUUGGAGAAGACACUGAGCAUUCAAACUUCCAGGUUAGCUGUCUCUGUUUGCUGCCAGGAAAAAAAAAAAUAGACACUUCUUCCUUCAGAGUAGUACCUCUAGGCACAAGGUUACAGCACUGGGCAUGUUUUAACAUAUAGGCUGUGCUGAAACAGAGAACUUGAGGAAGAUGCUUAGUGAAGAAAUAUAGCUCUGAAUAGAAUGAUGUCUGCAAAAACCAAGGAUGACAAAUCUACUGCGAUAUGAAAACAUAUGUAUAUGGCACUGUGAAUUUAAAAGGUGCCUCGCAUAGCAGCCAUAGCUCAGAUAUUUGUUAAGAUUCAGAUUCAUGAAAAAUAUCCCCCUUUUUGUUAGCAAUUUUUGCCUGCAAAAUUUAACUCACUUCUGUGUGCUCUCAUAAUAUGCAAGUAUUCUUCAAAAUUGCUACCUCUCUUUCUAUGUCUAUAGCAAUGCUUACCUAAGUCUCCAUCCUCUUUCAAAGUAUCACUUAUAGUAUCUGAGAACCUAUAUAUUAUUAUAAAACCCUUCAUUUUGGGAGUUCACUAUUUGCUCAAAUUGUCUGGGAAUUAUAGGCUCAGAGGGUGUUAUUUCUAUCUGAUAAUUUUACAAAAAUCUUUACAUUUAAAAAAUAUGUUGUGUUUUUGUGUGAUUAUUAUAAAAAUA
This is a long non-coding RNA of Passer domesticus (house sparrow), 1963 nucleotides long. RefSeq lists it as uncharacterized. Lineage: Eukaryota; Metazoa; Chordata; Aves; Passeriformes; Passeridae. The transcript has 3 exons. The record is from RefSeq and is a predicted model, not a curated record.